AACGCACAUUGCGCCCGCCAGUAUUCUGGCGGGCAUGCCUGUCCGAGCGUCAUUUCAACCCUCAGGGCCCGUCCGCGGGACCUGGUGUUGGGGAUCGGCCGCCCCCCGCGGCGGCCGGCCCCGAAAUACAGUGGCGGCUCCACCGCGCGAACUCCUCUGCGUAGUACAACACGUCGCAGCUGGGCUCGCGGUGGCGGCCUCGCCGUAAAACCCCCCAACUUCUCCAUGGUUGACCUCGGAUCAGGUAGGAAUACCCGCUGAACUUAA
RNAcentral lists this unclassified non-coding RNA (267 nucleotides) under uncultured fungus. RNAcentral describes it as "partial contains 5.8S ribosomal RNA, internal transcribed spacer 2, and large subunit ribosomal RNA". The stretch from base 1 to 52 matches the Rfam family "5.8S ribosomal RNA", at positions 103 to 154 of the family's 154-position model. The record is from RNAcentral. Lineage: Eukaryota; Fungi.